This 235-nucleotide ribosomal RNA is filed under the name uncultured Lactobacillus sp. RNAcentral's name for it is "partial 16S ribosomal RNA". It matches the Rfam family "Bacterial small subunit ribosomal RNA", at positions 128 to 354 of the family's 1533-position model. The record is from RNAcentral. Lineage: Bacteria; Bacillati; Bacillota; Bacilli; Lactobacillales; Lactobacillaceae.
GCCCAAGAGAUCGGGAUAACACCUGGAAACAGAUGCUAAUACCGGAUAACAACAGAUGAUGCCUAUCAACUGUUUAAAAGAUGGUUCUGCUAUCACUCUUGGAUGGACCUGCGGUGCAUUAGCUAGUUGGUAGGGUAACGGCCUACCAAGGCGAUGAUGCAUAGCCGAGUUGAGAGACUGAUCGGCCACAUUGGGACUGAGACACGGCCCAAACUCCUACGGGGAGGCAGCAGAU